Molecule: unclassified non-coding RNA, 266 nt
Filed under: Melitaea cinxia (Glanville fritillary)
Lineage: Eukaryota; Metazoa; Arthropoda; Insecta; Lepidoptera; Nymphalidae
Description: misc RNA ENSMCXG00005006681.1
Source: RNAcentral
AAACUGGUGUUUUUUUGUGUUUUAUCACUGCGUACACAAGUUUUGAGAGUGUUUUUGAAGAUUUAAGUUAUUGUUUUGAAGUGUAUACGAGUGACAUUUCCCGGAUAAUGUUCUUGUGAUUUCUGUUUACUUCAGCGAGCUAAGAAGGACGCUAAACAUCACUUCUUGACCUUGCUUAUGGACCGAAUGAACUAAUAAGUGACAGUAUGUUGUAAUUGAAAUGACAACUUUUCGCGGCGAGUAAAUAAAGGAACGAGUCUAGUUUU